UACGUAGGGGGCGAGCGUUGUCCGGAAUCAUUGGGCGUAAAGCGCGUGUAGGCGGUCCGGUAAGUCCGCUGUGAAAGUCGGGGGCUCAACCCUCGGAUGCCGGUGGAUACUGUCGGGCUUGAGUACGGAAGAGGCGAGUGGAAUUCCUGGUGUAGCGGUGAAAUGCGCAGAUAUCAGGAGGAACACCGGUGGCGAAGGCGGGUCUCUGGGCAACUACUGACGCUGAGGAGCGAAAGCGUGGGGAGCGAACAGG
RNAcentral lists this ribosomal RNA (253 nucleotides) under uncultured bacterium. Its description in RNAcentral is "partial 16S ribosomal RNA". It matches the Rfam family "Bacterial small subunit ribosomal RNA", at positions 524 to 776 of the family's 1533-position model. The record is from RNAcentral.